RNAcentral lists this transfer RNA (73 nucleotides) under Mustela putorius furo (domestic ferret). It matches the Rfam family "tRNA". From Rfam's summary of the family: Transfer RNA (tRNA) molecules are approximately 80 nucleotides in length. Their secondary structure includes four short double-helical elements and three loops (D, anti-codon, and T loops). Lineage: Eukaryota; Metazoa; Chordata; Mammalia; Carnivora; Mustelidae. The record is from Rfam by way of RNAcentral.
ACCUGGCUGGCUCAGUUGGAAGAGCAUGUGACUCUUGAUCACAAGCUUGUGAAUUCAAGCCCCAUGUUGGAUA